Molecule: microRNA precursor, 118 nt
Organism: Brassica oleracea var. oleracea
Lineage: Eukaryota; Viridiplantae; Streptophyta; Magnoliopsida; Brassicales; Brassicaceae
Rfam family: MIR9563 microRNA precursor family
Source: Rfam
GGAAUAUAAGAACUCGACUCUUAAUUUUUAACUGAAAAUGCUAAGAGUCGACUCUUAAAUAAGAGAUUUAAGAGCCGACUCUUAACUUUUUCAGUUAAGAGUCGGGUUCUUAUAUUCU